GAUGAACGCUAGCGGGAGGCCUAACACAUGCAAGCCGAGCGGUAGAGUUCUUUCGGGAACUUGAGAGCGGCGUACGGGUGCGUAACACGUGUGCAACCUACCUUUAUUUGGGGGAUAGCCUUUCGAAAGGAAGAUUAAUACCCCAUAAUAUACUGAUUGGCAUCAAUUAUUAUUGAAAACUCCGGUGGCUAGAGAUGGGCACGCGCAAGAUUAGAUAGUUGGUGAGGUAACGGCUCACCAAGUCAAUGAUCUUUAGGGGUCCUGAGAGGGAGAUCCCCCACACUGGUACUAAGACACGGACCAGACUCCUACGGGAGGCAGCAGUGAGGAGUAUUAGACAAUGGGUGAAAGCCUGGUCCAGCCGUCCCGCGUGAAGGAUGACGGUCCUAUGGAUUGUAAACUUCUUUUGUACAGGGAUAAACCUACUCUCAUGAGGGUAGCUGAAGGUACUGUACGAAUAAGCACCGGCUAACUCCGUG
Molecule: ribosomal RNA, 479 nt
Filed under: uncultured bacterium
Lineage: Bacteria
Description: partial 16S ribosomal RNA
Rfam family: Bacterial small subunit ribosomal RNA
Source: RNAcentral